CGUUAGAUAGUAGUUGGUGGGGUAAUGGCCUACCAAGUCUACGAUCUAUAGCUGGUUUGAGAGGAUGAUCAGCAACACUGGGACUGAGACACGGCCCAGACUCCUACGGGAGGCAGCAGUGGGGAAUCUUAGACAAUGGGCGAAAGCCUGAUCUAGCCAUGCCGCGUGAGUGACGAAGGCCUUAGGGUCGUAAAGCUCUUUCGCCAGAGAUGAUAAUGACAGUAUCUGGUAAAGAAACCCCGGCUAACUCCGUGCCAGCAGCCGCGGUAAUACGGAGGGGGUUAGCGUUGUUCGGAAUUACUGGGCGUAAAGCGUACGUAGGCGGAUUGGAAAGUAGGGGGUGAAAUCCCAGGGCUCAACCCUGGAACUGCCUUCUAAACUAUCAGUCUAGAGUUCGAGAGAGGUGAGUGGAAUUCCAAGUGUAGAGGUGAAAUUCGUAGAUAUUUGGAGGAACACCAGUGGCGAAGGCGGCUCACUGGCUCGAUACUGACGCUGAGGUACGAAAGUGUGGGGAGCAAACAGGAUUAGAUACCCUGGUAGUCCACACCGUAAACGAUGAAUGCCAGACGUCGGGGGGCUUGCCCUUC
Molecule: ribosomal RNA, 587 nt
Filed under: uncultured bacterium
Lineage: Bacteria
Description: bacterial SSU rRNA
Rfam family: Bacterial small subunit ribosomal RNA
Source: RNAcentral